Molecule: long non-coding RNA, 779 nt
Organism: Pygoscelis adeliae (Adelie penguin)
Lineage: Eukaryota; Metazoa; Chordata; Aves; Sphenisciformes; Spheniscidae
Exons: 2
Source: RefSeq, a predicted model, not a curated record
GUAGCUGUGAGAUUGACAGCAAAAUGAUAUAGGCUGGCAGUGACCAAGCCCUUGGCUGGUUAAGAUCACUAGUGAAGGCAUUUGAGCUCCCCUUAGGAGUUCCUCAGCUAUCAAUGACCUGUGGGCACCAGCAAAUAGAGUUCUGCUCCAUCAAGAGCUGUCAUACUUUGCCAGUGUUUUAAUUCCUGUGGCUGAAAACAGCAUCCAGUGAUGACAGAACAAGUACAAGUGUUUUUCAGCUCAGAGUGGGGGAAAUGGAGUGCCCACAGGACCUGCCCACAGGACCUACAGCGCCAUGGUGUGGUAACACCUCUUUUUGGACAAACAAUCAGCUCUGGCAGUCUGGUUUUGCAGCCAAAAGGAGGCUCUUCAGUAUUGCCUUCAGCUUGUGUCAGUAUAGGAACUGUGCCAUUCACUUGGGCACAUCCUGCAAGGUGAUAGUGACAGCAAGGUGGAGGGCAGAACUGAAGAGAGGUGUUUGUCUUUAAUGCAGCCUCCACCGACAGAGGAUCUCAAAGCACUGUACAAACACCUGCUGUAACCUCCAGUGGAUAACAAUACCUGACAGAGAAUGCAAGGGACAGAGAAAGAGGGUGAAUUCUGCAGAGGGCAGCUGCAGAGCCUGAACAGUAGAAGCUGGGAGAGGAGAGAGGGAAUAGACGCCUCACCCUAAAUUCCUGUGAUCCUGAUUUACACCCGUGUAAUUCGGUUGGAGUCGGUGCAAUUACAUUAGUAGGAAACCUGGCUGAGAAAUAAAAAAUGAGCUCCAUGUCUCUUCA